Molecule: ribosomal RNA, 497 nt
Filed under: uncultured bacterium
Lineage: Bacteria
Description: partial 16S ribosomal RNA
Rfam family: Bacterial small subunit ribosomal RNA
Source: RNAcentral
GAUGAACGCUGGCGGCGUGCCUAAUACAUGCAAGUCGAGCGAACAGACGAGGAGCUUGCUCCUCUGACGUUAGCGGCGGACGGGUGAGUAACACGUGGAUAACCUACCUAUAAGACUGGGAUAACUUCGGGAAACCGGAGCUAAUACCGGAUAAUAUAUUGAACCGCAUGGUUCAAUAGUGAAAGACGGUUUUGCUGUCACUUAUAGAUGGAUCCGCGCCGCAUUAGCUAGUUGGUAAGGUAACGGCUUACCAAGGCAACGAUGCGUAGCCGACCUGAGAGGGUGAUCGGCCACCCUGGAGCUGAGACACGGUCCAGACUCCUACGGGAGGCAGCAGUAGGGAAUCUUCCGCAAUGGGCGAAAGCUUGACGGAGCAACGCCGCGUGAGUGAUGAAGGUCUUCGGAUCGUAAAACUCUGUUAUUAGGGAAGAACAAAUGUGUAAGUAACUAUGCACGUCUUGACGGUACCUAAUCAGAAAGCCACGGCUAACUACGUG